AACGUAGGUGGCAAGCGUUAUCCGGAUUUACUGGGCGUAAAGCGUGCGCAGGCGGUUUGCUAAGACAGGUGUGAAAUCCCCGGGCUUAACCUGGGAACUGCGCUUGUUACUGGCAGGCUUGAGUGUGGCAGAGGGGGGUGGAAUUCCACGUGUAGCAGUGAAAUGCGUAGAGAUGUGGAGGAACACCGAUGGCGAAGGCAGCCCCCUGGGCUAACACUGACGCUCAUGCACGAAAGCGUGGGGAGCAAACAGG
RNAcentral lists this ribosomal RNA (253 nucleotides) under uncultured bacterium. RNAcentral's name for it is "partial 16S ribosomal RNA". It matches the Rfam family "Bacterial small subunit ribosomal RNA", at positions 524 to 776 of the family's 1533-position model. The record is from RNAcentral.